Molecule: ribosomal RNA, 429 nt
Filed under: Bacteroidota bacterium
Lineage: Bacteria; Pseudomonadati; Bacteroidota
Description: Bacteroidetes bacterium partial 16S ribosomal RNA
Rfam family: Bacterial small subunit ribosomal RNA
Source: RNAcentral
UAGGGAAUCUUCCGCAAUGGACGCAAGUCUGACGGAGCAACGCCGCGUGAGUGAAGAAGGAUUUCGGUUCGUAAAACUCUGUUGUUAGAGAAGAACAGCGCAUAGAGUAACUGUUAUGCGUGUGACGGUAUCUAACCAGAAAGCCACGGCUAACUACGUGCCAGCAGCCGCGGUAAUACGUAGGUGGCAAGCGUUGUCCGGAUUUAUUGGGCGUAAAGCGAGCGCAGGCGGUCAAUUAAGUCUGGUGUGAAAGCCCCCGGCUCAACCGGGGAGGGUUCUUGGAAACUGGUUGACUUGAGUGCGGAAGAGGAGAGUGGAAUUCCGUGUGUAGCGGUGAAAUGCGGAGAUAUAUGGAGGAACACCAGUGGCGAAGGCGACUCUCGGGUCUGUAACUGACGCCGAGGCUCGAAAGCGUGGGUAGCAAACAGG